UCUGACAAGGCUUCUAUUCAGAUGUAGUCAAGUAAAUGUUGGCAUCACUUUAUUUGUAAUUUUUCACCUACUCAAUAGAAAUAUUUAAUCUAUCUCAAGUGAUUCAUUUAGGUACUUCCUGGAAAUUUCCUAAAGAUUCCACAAUCCUUUGUUAGCAAUACAUUUAAAUCCAGCCAGCUUGUUGCAAAAUCUGAUUCUAGCUAAAUUUUUAUUUUAUGAAACAAUGAUAGCUAAUGCAAGCUACAACAAAUCAGAAAAGUCUAAAUGAGGCACAUUUGCAAAUUGUCACCAGUUGAUUGGCUUAUUAACAGCAGCAAAUAAAGGGAAGGCAGGUAUAAGCAGAAUGGCCAUUUUGAGAGCAGCCAUUGUUGUAGUGGACCAGUGUUAGAGUGGGGGUGUUGAGGCUUUGGUGAAAGAGGUUCUGGUUGCUGGCAAGAACAGUAUUAUUAUGCAUUCCUGAUUGCCUUUGAGAAUGUGGUGGUGAGCUGCCACCUUCAACUACUGCUGGUCUUCUGAAGAAGUGUUCCCAUGCACUGCUGCUCUUGUCCUUGAUUGCAGGUGCUGUUAGAGUAGACUGGAUGGUGUCCAGAAUCUUGAGUUGUUGGAGCUGUAUUCAUCCAGCUAAGUAGAGAUUCCAUCUCACUCCUGACUUGUGUAUUGCAAACAGUGGAAAGGCUUGGAGUGUGACUAGGUGAGUCAAACACAAAGAUUGUCGAAGCUCAAUCAUCUCAGCCCUAGGACAUCAUUGAAAGAAUUCCUUGGGGCUGUGUUAGGCCUAACCAUCUUCAACUGCUUCACCAAUGAUCUUCCCAUCGUAGGGUCAGAAUUGGGGACAAUGUUCAAUUCUACCUGCAACUUCUCAACAAAUUAGCCAGUACAUUCAUGUUGCAAGACCUAGACAACAUUGAAGCUCCACAAGUGCUGGAGAAUUAACAACAAGAGUCAAUCUAACCACCUAGCCUUGACACUCAAUGUCAUUACCACUGCUACGUGUCCCAGCAUUAACAUCCUAUGGUCACCAUUAACCAGAUGCUUCUAAACAUAAAUGCAAUGGCUGCAAGAACAAGUUAGCCUUUGAUGCCCACUGACUUCUGUUUUAACAGGCCACAUUGAUGCCACACUCAGUAAACUGCUGCAUUGAUGUCAAGGGCAAUCAUUCUUAUCUGGCUUCUGGAAUUCAGCUCCUUGGUCUAUGUGUGGACCAAGGCUGUGAUAUUGUCUGGAGUGGAGUAUAGGGGUCAUGGCGAAACCCAAACUGGGCAUCAGUGAAUCAGUUAUGGUGAAUAAAUGCUACUUGAUAACACUGUCAAUGACAUCAUAUUGUAGAAUGAUAAGAAUUAAAUAAUUCUUGAGAAUAAUUAUCUGUAUUUAUCAUCUUUGUUCCCUCUGCUUGUUAACAUACCUCUAAGACAGGUGCAAGUUUGUCAGGUUUCAAUAAAAGUUAAUAUUCAAGU
This is a long non-coding RNA of Pristis pectinata (smalltooth sawfish), 1454 nucleotides long. RefSeq lists it as uncharacterized. The record is from RefSeq and is a predicted model, not a curated record. NCBI's taxonomy places the organism in Eukaryota, Metazoa, Chordata, Chondrichthyes, Rhinopristiformes, Pristidae. The transcript is spliced from 3 exons.